Molecule: ribosomal RNA, 253 nt
Filed under: uncultured bacterium
Lineage: Bacteria
Description: partial 16S ribosomal RNA
Rfam family: Bacterial small subunit ribosomal RNA
Source: RNAcentral
GACGAACCGAGCGAACGUUGUUCGGAAUCACUGGGCUUAAAGGACGCGUAGGCGGCUUACCAAGUCAGGGGUGAAAUUUUGCGGCUUAACCGUAACAGUGCCUUUGAUACUGGUAGGCUCGAGGGGGACAGGGGUCCGCGGAACUUCUGGUGGAGCGGUGAAAUGCGUUGAUAUCAGAAGGAACGCCGGUGGCGAAAGCGGCGGACUGGAUCCUUUCUGACGCUGAGGCGCGAAAGCUAGGGGAGCAAACGGG